This 1213-nucleotide long non-coding RNA is filed under the name Cyanistes caeruleus (blue tit). RNAcentral describes it as "lncRNA (ENSCCEG00000004107.1)". The record is from RNAcentral. Lineage: Eukaryota; Metazoa; Chordata; Aves; Passeriformes; Paridae.
AAACUCUCUCAGCCAAAAAGAUUUAGAAAGUCGAAAACACCGAGAAAACCCCGGUACAGCUAACCGAGAGGUAAGUAUUGGUGCGAUCUAGGACUUUCGGAAGCGAAAACAGAAAGACGAACACAACGCAGAGCAGGUAAGAAUCGUAAGAAAAUGGGACAGAGAAAAAGUAGAGCGCAAAAACUAGAUAACGAGAAAAGCCCAUCGGAGGAAUCAAAACAAAUGCUAGACAUCCCUCCGGAGAGUCCUUUAGGGUGGAUGUUGAGAAAUUGGGAAAGUUGUCCCGAAAAACAAGGGAAAUCCAAGGCAAAAAUGAUUUAUUACUGUGCCGAGAUUUGGGGAGGACAGGAAUUAAGAAACUGUCUCACUUGGCCAGUAUUGGGGACAUUUGAUAAAUGGACGUGCAGGGAAUUACUCGCACACAUAGAGAAAAAGGUCUCGUCAGACGCUGAGGAGAAAGAAUAUGCCAAACUCUGGUUAAAUACCAAAGUACGGCUGUUUCCAGUGAAACAGAAAAACGAACGUAAAACAGAGACCUGGGAACCCCUGGAUCACUUACCCCCUCCGUACCGCGGGCCAGUAGAGCCUCCGGUGAUGGACCAAGUAGUACCAUCAGCACCCGAGGGUUCCAUGGGGCAACUAGCAGAAGCACGCUCCCCUCAACCACCGGGAGUAGUGCUGGAAACCCUCACUACCCCCCCACCUGCAGAAAACCCAGCCACCGCACCCUCUUUGGAGUCGGUGUUGGCGCAAGGAUGGGGCUUACCCCCUCCACAAAUCCCGGUCCGGCCACCACAGCUGGGACCACCAAAAGUAUCAGAAGGGAACCCUCUGAGUCACUUAGCUGCGGCAGACAUCCCGCCAGCAAUGAGGGGAAAACCUCCCGCAAACUCCAGUUCCCCUCCUGCAAGCAGGACUCGGUGGAAAUCAAAAAUAGGGAAUGGAGAAUGGGGAGAGACAGAAAAUGGGCAUCGAAUGUUCCCUCUCAGGGAAGUGCCAACCGCCCCCAGAAUAAUUGGAUUUGUAAACGUGCCCCUUAACUCAGGGGAUGUACGAGCAUUCAAGAAAGAAAUGGGACGGUUGCUGGAUGACCCAUUUGGAGUGGCCGAAAAAUUAGACAAUUUUCUAGGGAGUAGUAUUUACACCUACGAAGAUCUCAUGGCCAUCCUGAGAUCCCUGUUUAGCCAGGAGGAGAGAGAAAUGAUUAAGCAGG